RNAcentral lists this ribosomal RNA (433 nucleotides) under uncultured bacterium. RNAcentral describes it as "partial 16S ribosomal RNA". It matches the Rfam family "Bacterial small subunit ribosomal RNA", at positions 29 to 507 of the family's 1533-position model. The record is from RNAcentral.
AACGAACGCUGGCGGCAUGCCUAACACAUGCAAGUCGAACGAGACCUUCGGGUCUAGUGGCGCACGGGUGCGUAACGCGUGGGAACCUGCCCUUAGGUUCGGAAUAACUCCCCGAAAGGGGUGCUAAUACCGGAUAAUGUCUUCGGACCAAAGAUUUAUCGCCUUUGGAUGGGCCCGCGUUGGAUUAGCUAGUUGGUAGGGUAAAAGCCUACCAAGGCGACGAUCCAUAGCUGGUCUGAGAGGAUGAUCAGCCACACUGGGACUGAGACACGGCCCAGACUCCUACGGGAGGAAGAAGUGGGGAAUAUUGGACAAUGGGCGAAAGCCUGAUCCAGCAAUGCCGCGUGAGUGAUGAAGGCCUUAGGGUUGUAAAGCUCUUUUACCCGGGAUGAUAAUGACAGUACCGGGAGAAUAAGCGCCGGCUAACUCCGUG